This 301-nucleotide ribosomal RNA is filed under the name uncultured bacterium. RNAcentral's name for it is "partial 16S ribosomal RNA". It matches the Rfam family "Bacterial small subunit ribosomal RNA", at positions 509 to 807 of the family's 1533-position model. The record is from RNAcentral.
CAGUCGCCACGGUAAUACAGAGGGUGCGAGCGUUAAUCGGAUUUACUGGGCGUAAAGCGUGCGUAGGCGGCUUCUUAAGUCGGAUGUGAAAUCCCUGAGCUUAACUUAGGAAUUGCAUUCGAUACUGGGAAGCUAGAGUAUGGGAGAGGAUGGUAGAAUUCCAGGUGUAGCGGUGAAAUGCGUAGAGAUCUGGAGGAAUACCGAUGGCGAAGGCAGCCAUCUGGCCUAAUACUGACGCUGAGGUACGAAAGCAUGGGGAGCAAACAGGAUUAGAUACCCCCGUAGUCCCUGUCUCUUAUAC